UGAGGAAUAUUGGUCAAUGGGCGCAAGCCUGAACCAGCCAUCCCGCGUGCAGGAAGACGGCGCUAUGCGUUGUAAACUGCUUUUCCAGGGGGAGAAACUUGCGCACGUGUUGCGCAAUUGACGGUACCCUGGGAAUAAGCAUCGGCUAACUCCGUGCCAGCAGCCGCGGUAAUACGGAGGAUGCGAGCGUUAUCCGGAUUCAUUGGGUUUAAAGGGUGCGUAGGCGGACUAUUAAGUCAGUGGUGAAAUCCUGCAGCUUAACUGCAGAACUGCCAUUGAUACUGAUAGCCUUGAGUUUGGUUAAGGUAGGCAGUAUGUGUAAUGUAGCGGUGAAAUGCUUAGAUAUUACACAGAACACCAAUUGCGUAGGCAGCUUACUGAGCCGACACUGACGCUGAGGCACGAAAGCGUGGGGAUCGAACAG
This 424-nucleotide ribosomal RNA is filed under the name uncultured bacterium. RNAcentral's name for it is "bacterial SSU rRNA". It matches the Rfam family "Bacterial small subunit ribosomal RNA", at positions 355 to 775 of the family's 1533-position model. The record is from RNAcentral.